CCUACGGGUGGCAGCAGUGGGGAAUAUCGCACAAUGGGGGAAACCCUGAUGCAGCAACGCCGCGUGAGUGAGGCAGUAUUUCGGUAUGUACAGCUCUAUCAGCAGGGAAUAGAAAAGAAGGUAACUGAAAAGAAGCCCCGGCUAACUACGUGCCAGCAGCCGCGGGAAUACGUAUGGGGCAAUCGUUCUGCGGAUUUACUGGGUGUACAGGGAGAGUAGACGGAAAGGCAAGUCAGAAGUGAAAGCCCAAGGCUCAACCAUGGGACUGCUUUUGAAACUGUCAAACUAGAGUACGGGAGAGGUAAGAGGAAUUCCUAGUGUAGCGGUGAAAUGCGUAGAUAUUAGGAGGAACACCAGUGGCGAAGGCGUCUUACUGGACCGAAACUGACGUUGAGGCUCGAAAGCGUGGGGAGCAAACAGGAUUAGAUACCCUGGUAGUC
This 440-nucleotide ribosomal RNA is filed under the name uncultured bacterium. RNAcentral's name for it is "partial 16S ribosomal RNA". It matches the Rfam family "Bacterial small subunit ribosomal RNA", at positions 338 to 795 of the family's 1533-position model. The record is from RNAcentral.